UAGAGUUUUGCUCCUGGCUCAGGACGAACGCGGGCGGCGUGCUUAACACAUGCAAGUCGAACGAUGAAGCCUUUCGGGGUGGAUUAGUGGCGAACGGGUGAGUAACACGUGGGCAAUCUGCCCUUCACUCUGGGACAAGCCCUGGAAACGGGGUCUAAUACCGGAUAACACUCUGUCCCGCAUGGGACGGGGUUAAAAGCUCCGGCGGUGAAGGAUGAGCCCGCGGCCUAUCAGCUUGUUGGUGGGGUAAUGGCCUACCAAGGCGACGACGGGUAGCCGGCCUGAGAGGGCGACCGGCCACACUGGGACUGAGACACGGCCCAGACUCCUACGGGAGGCAGCAGUGGGGAAUAUUGCACAAUGGGCGAAAGCCUGAUGCAGCGACGCCGCGUGAGGGAUGACGGCCUUCGGGUUGUAAACCUCUUCAGCAGGAAGAAGCAAAGGAC
RNAcentral lists this ribosomal RNA (446 nucleotides) under Streptomyces flavogriseus. Its description in RNAcentral is "bacterial SSU rRNA". It matches the Rfam family "Bacterial small subunit ribosomal RNA", at positions 1 to 458 of the family's 1533-position model. The record is from RNAcentral. Lineage: Bacteria; Bacillati; Actinomycetota; Actinomycetes; Kitasatosporales; Streptomycetaceae.